AUGUAAAAUAGUAUGUAUUUUAACUUACAUAUUUUAAACUUAGGUAAAUAAUUGAGUUAAGUAUGGUAAUAGGUCCUUAAGCUAACCUGAGCACUCUCUACUAAUCCUUAGGUAAAGUACAGGGUAUAGUUAUGUAAGGUCUUUAGUGAUCUGGUCCAGCCACAUCUUGGCCAGUGAUUGCCUUUUCUAUUGUUUCUGUAGCAUGUGACCAGGUUUUUAGCUUUAAACACUUCAAUAUUUCUCUUCUCUGGUCACUGCUGCAUUACAACUCUGCAUGAUUCACUGCACUGCACUGAUUGGGGCAUAGAGGCACAUAUAAAGCCAUACUGUUGGCAUUGACGUGAUGAGCCUGCGACCCUGAGACGAGGGAAUUAUCAUCCAUAGCCAUAUUGUGGUGGGAUCUCCAUAUCCCUGAUAUGAACAGACCGAAUAAAUCCCAUGAACCCCCAAACAAGUAUUCGUCGUCAUUACCUAGAC
Haliotis rufescens (red abalone) is the source of this 477-nucleotide long non-coding RNA. RefSeq lists it as uncharacterized. NCBI's taxonomy places the organism in Eukaryota, Metazoa, Mollusca, Gastropoda, Lepetellida, Haliotidae. The transcript has 3 exons. The record is from RefSeq and is a predicted model, not a curated record.